RNAcentral lists this ribosomal RNA (497 nucleotides) under uncultured bacterium. RNAcentral's name for it is "partial 16S ribosomal RNA". It matches the Rfam family "Bacterial small subunit ribosomal RNA", at positions 28 to 507 of the family's 1533-position model. The record is from RNAcentral.
GAUGAACGCUGGCGGCGUGCCUAAUACAUGCAAGUCGAGCGAACAGACGAGGAGCUUGCUCCUUCGACGUUAGCGGCGGACGGGUGAGUAACACGUAGGUAACCUACCUAUAAGACUGGGAUAAAUUCGGGAAACCGGAGCUAAUACCGGAUAAUAUUUCGAACCGCAUGGUUCGAUAGUGAAAGAUGGCUUUGCUAUCACUUAUAGAUGGACCUGCGUCGGAUUAGCUAGUUGGUAAGGUAACGGCUUACCAAGGCAACGAUACGUAGCCGACCUGAGAGGGUGAUCGGCCACACUGGAACUGAGACACGGUCCAGACUCCUACGGGAGGCAGCAGUAGGGAAUCUUCCGCAAUGGGCGAAAGCCUGACGGAGCAACGCCGCGUGAGUGAUGAAGGUCUUCGGAUCGUAAAACUCUGUUAUUAGGGAAGAACAAACGUGUAAGUAACUGUGCACGUCUUGACGGUACCUAAUCAGAAAGCCACGGCUAACUACGUG